RNAcentral lists this long non-coding RNA (317 nucleotides) under Malus domestica (apple). Its description in RNAcentral is "long non-coding RNA (MDOM_LNC000325)". Lineage: Eukaryota; Viridiplantae; Streptophyta; Magnoliopsida; Rosales; Rosaceae. The record is from RNAcentral.
AUGGUUGGUUGACAAAAAUAGUCCAUCAACAUGGACUUAUGAUGAUUUUGAAUCAUUGAGUGUUGAAGUGUUACACCACUUCUAGAAGCGGAAAUUAGGCAAGGACUUCACCUUUGUGUCCCUAUCCAAAUGGUUCACUAAGUUUAUUGUAAACUAUAUAGUGAGCAAUAACCACACACUCUCCAAAUCGUUUGAUGUGUAUAACACAAUUGAAAUAAGUUUCAAGAGAGAUAGUGGGAGUUUAAGGACCAUGACUAUUGUAGUCAAAGGAGAAGUCAAAUGAAGAAGAUAAAAUUAACUCCAAGGGAACAAACUUU